Molecule: transfer RNA, 67 nt
Filed under: Schistosoma mansoni
Lineage: Eukaryota; Metazoa; Platyhelminthes; Trematoda; Strigeidida; Schistosomatidae
Source: RNAcentral
CAGUAGCUCAGUGGAUAACGCAAUGGCGUUUGAAGCGAACGGUACUGGGUUCGAGUCCCAGAAUGAA